CCUACGGGAGGCAGCAGUGAGGAAUAUUGGUCAAUGGACGAGAGUCUGAACCAGCAAAGUAGCGUGAAGGAUGACUGCCCUAUGGGUUGUAAACUUCUUUUAUAUGGGAAUAAAAUGUUCCAAGUGUGGGAUUUUGUAUGUACCAUAUGAAUAAGGAUCGGCUAACUCCGUGCCAGCAGCCGCGGUAAUACGGAGGAUCCGAGCGUUAUCCGGAUUUCUUGGGUUUAAGGGGAGCGUAGGUGGAUUGUUAAGUCAGUUGUGAAAGUUGUCGGCUCAACCGUAAAUUGCAGUUGAAACUGGCAGUCUUGAGUACAGUAGAGGUAGGCGGAAUUCGUGGUGUAGCGGUGAAAUGCUUAGAUAUCACGAAGAACUCCGAUUGCGAAGGCAGCUCACUGGACUGCAACUGACACUGAGGCUCGAAAGUGUGGGUAUCAAACAGGAUUAGAUACCCCGGUAGUC
RNAcentral lists this ribosomal RNA (459 nucleotides) under uncultured bacterium. RNAcentral's name for it is "partial 16S ribosomal RNA". It matches the Rfam family "Bacterial small subunit ribosomal RNA", at positions 338 to 795 of the family's 1533-position model. The record is from RNAcentral.